AUACGGAGGGUGCAAGCGUUACUCGGAAUCACAGGGCGUAAAGCGCGCGCAGGCGGCUUGAUAAGUUGGAUGUGAAAGCCUACGGCUCAACCGUAGAACUGCAUCCAAAACUGUCAAGCUAGAGUCUGGGAGGGGAAGAUGGAAUUAGUUGUGUAGGGGUAAAAUCCGUAGAGAUAACUAGGAAUACCAAAAGCGAAGGCGAUCUUCUGGAACAGUACUGACGCUGAGGCGCGAAAGCGUGGGGAGCAAACAGGAUUAGAAACCCCGGUAGUCC
Molecule: ribosomal RNA, 274 nt
Filed under: uncultured bacterium
Lineage: Bacteria
Description: partial 16S ribosomal RNA
Rfam family: Bacterial small subunit ribosomal RNA
Source: RNAcentral